RNAcentral lists this long non-coding RNA (615 nucleotides) under Homo sapiens (human). RNAcentral describes it as "non-protein coding lnc-MTAP-4:2". Lineage: Eukaryota; Metazoa; Chordata; Mammalia; Primates; Hominidae. The record is from RNAcentral.
UGCUAUAGGAAGCCCAAGAUGUUCUCUUUUUCUGUAUCUCCUCUCUGCUAUAGCCUAUCUAUUUUAUUCUGAACAUCUUUAUUCCACACAUCUUUAUUCCACAGCUAUACUGUCCAAUAUGAUAGUCACAAGGAACAUGCGGCUUUUUAAAUUUAAUAAAAUUCAGUUCUUCAGUCACAUUAAAGAUAUUGCAAAUAUUAAAUAGCUACAUAUGGCUACUGUGUUGGACACUGUAGAUAUAGCACACCUCCAUCAUUGUAGAUAGUUCUUUUGGACAGCACUGGAUUAUAGGAUUACCAGAGAUCAAGGUAAACUUCCCUUGAAGUUGAAGGUAAACUUCCAUUUAACCAUUAGGACACCUCAGCUGUAUCACUCCCUUUUAAGGCCUAUAUUUAGUUUUGAAUUUAUAAUUUUUUAUCAUUUUUCUUAGGGACUGAUAUCACCAGUGACCUCUAGGGAAAGGAUUAGUAGUGAGGAGAAACAUUAUUUUGUAUUGUUUGAAUGUAAAUACAUCCAUGUACAAACUGCAUAAUAUUUUUUAAGGUAUUGGAGUUUUGUAUUGCUCAUCAUUGUAUCCAAACACCCAGUAUAGUACCUUAACAGGUAAUGUUAGGA